GAUGAACGCUGGCGGCGUGCUUAACACAUGCAGGUCGAACGGGAAACCUUUUAUUGAAGCUUCGGCAGAUUUAGCUGGUUUCUAGUGGCGGACGGGUGAGUAACGCGUGGGUAACCUGCCUUAUACAGGGGGAUAACAACCAGAAAUGGUUGCUAAUACCGCAUAAGCGCACAGGACCGCAUGGUCCGGUGUGAAAAACUCCGGUGGUAUAAGAUGGACCCGCGUUGGAUUAGCUAGUUGGCAGGGUAACGGCCUACCAAGGCGACGAUCCAUAGCCGGCCUGAGAGGGUGAACGGCCACAUUGGGACUGAGACACGGCCCAGACUCCUACGGGAGGCAGCAGUGGGGAAUAUUGCACAAUGGGGGAAACCCUGAUGCAGCGACGCCGCGUGAAGGAAGAAGUAUCUCGGUAUGUAAACUUCUAUCAGCAGGGAAGAUAGUGACGGUACCUGACUAAGAAGCCCCGGCUAACUACGUG
Molecule: ribosomal RNA, 478 nt
Filed under: uncultured bacterium
Lineage: Bacteria
Description: partial 16S ribosomal RNA
Rfam family: Bacterial small subunit ribosomal RNA
Source: RNAcentral